This 513-nucleotide ribosomal RNA is filed under the name Azotobacter chroococcum. Its description in RNAcentral is "bacterial SSU rRNA". It matches the Rfam family "Bacterial small subunit ribosomal RNA", at positions 111 to 621 of the family's 1533-position model. The record is from RNAcentral. Lineage: Bacteria; Pseudomonadati; Pseudomonadota; Gammaproteobacteria; Pseudomonadales; Pseudomonadaceae.
UAAUGCCUAUGAAUCUGCCCGAUAGUGGGGGACACGUUUCCAAAGGAACGCUAAUACCGCAUACGUCCUAUGGGAGAAAGUGGGGGCUCUUCUGACCUCACGCUAUCGGAUGAGCCUAUGUCUGAUUAUCUAUUUGGUGGGGUAAAGGCUCACCAAGGCGACGAUCCGUAACUGGUCUGAGAGGAUGAUCACUCACACUGGGACUGAGACACGGUCCACACUCCUACGGGAGGCAGCAGUGGGGAAUUUUGGACAAUGGGCGAAAGCCUGAUCCCCCCAUGCCGCGUGUGUGAAGAAGGUCUUCGGAUUGUAAAGCACUUUUUACUGGGAGGAAGGGCUGUAAGCGAAUACCUUGCAGUUUUGACGUUACCGACAGAAUAAGCACCGGCUAACUUCGUGCCACCAGCCGCGGUAAUACGAAGGGUGCAAGCGUUAAUCUGAAUUACUGGGCGUAAAGCGCGCGUAUGUGGUUUGGUAAGAUGGAUGUGAAAUCCCCGGGCUCAACCUGGGAAU